RNAcentral lists this ribosomal RNA (376 nucleotides) under uncultured eukaryote. Its description in RNAcentral is "partial 18S ribosomal RNA". It matches the Rfam family "Eukaryotic small subunit ribosomal RNA", at positions 592 to 975 of the family's 1831-position model. The record is from RNAcentral.
CAAUAGCGUAUAUUAAAGUUGUUGCAGUUAAAAAGCUCGUAGUUGGAUUUCUGUCUUUGUUGUGCGGUCCACCGCGAGGUGAGCACUGUGCGAUGGGGACUUCCUCUCGAUGUUGUGCCGUGUUCUUAACUGAGUGCGGUAUUGACUCGGGACCUUUACUUUGAAAAAAUUAGAGUGUUCAAAGCAGGCCUACGCUUGAAUACAUUAGCAUGGAAUAAUUGAAUAGGACUUCGGUUCUAUUUUGUUGGUUUCUAGGACCGAAGUAAUGAUUAAUAGGGACAGUUGGGGGCAUUAGUAUUUAAUUGUCAGAGGUGAAAUUCUUGGAUUUAUGAAAGACUAACUACUGCGAAAGCAUUUGCCAAGGAUGUUUNCAUUA